ACACAUGCAAGUCGAGGGGCAGCAUAAUGGAUAGCAAUAUCUAUGGUGGCGACCGGCGCACGGGUGCGUAACGCGUAUGCAACCUACCUUUAACAGGGGGAUAACACUGAGAAAUUGGUACUAAUACCCCAUAAUAUCAUAGAAGGCAUCUUUUAUGGUUGAAAAUUCCGAUGGUUAGAGAUGGGCAUGCGUUGUAUUAGCUAGUUGGUGGGGUAACGGCUCACCAAGGCGACGAUACAUAGGGGGACUGAGAGGUUAACCCCCCACACUGGUACUGAGACACGGACCAGACUCCUACGGGAGGCAGCAGUGAGGAAUAUUGGUCAAUGGACGCAAGUCUGAACCAGCCAUGCCGCGUGCAGGAUGACGGCUCUAUGAGUUGUAAACUGCCUUUGUACGAGGGUAAACGCAGAUACGUGUAUCUGUCUGAAAGUAUCGUACGAAUAAGGAUCGGCUAACUCCGUGCCAGCAGCCGCGGUAAUACGGAGGAUUCAAGCGUUAUCCGGAUUUAUUGGGUUUAAAGGGUGCGUAGGCGGUUUGAUAAGUUAGAGGUGAAAUUUCGGGGCUCAACCCUGAACGUGCCUCUAAUACUGUUGAGCUAGAGAGUAGUUGCGGUAGGCGGAAUGUAUGGUGUAGCGGUGAAAUGCUUAGAGAUCAUACAGAACACCGAUUGCGAAGGCAGCUUACCAAACUAUAUCUGACGUUGAGGCACGAAAGCGUGGGGAGCAAACAGGAUUAGAUACCCUGGUAGUCCACGCAGUAAACGAUGAUAACUCGUUGUCGGCGAUACACAGUCGGUGACUAAGCGAAAGCGAUAAGUUAUCCACCUGGGGAGUACGUUCGCAAGAAUGAAACUCAAAGGAAUUGACGGGGG
This 874-nucleotide ribosomal RNA is filed under the name uncultured bacterium. RNAcentral's name for it is "bacterial SSU rRNA". It matches the Rfam family "Bacterial small subunit ribosomal RNA", at positions 51 to 919 of the family's 1533-position model. The record is from RNAcentral.